AACUUUCCGAAUCCGUACUGAUAUUUCGUCAGACACCAACCCAUUAGGGCUGAUCUGACUUACAAGAUGAAUGAAGUU
Molecule: microRNA precursor, 78 nt
Filed under: Schistosoma margrebowiei
Lineage: Eukaryota; Metazoa; Platyhelminthes; Trematoda; Strigeidida; Schistosomatidae
Description: mir-3492 microRNA precursor family
Rfam family: mir-3492 microRNA precursor family
Source: Rfam by way of RNAcentral